GGAUAGGGAUGAGUUGGUUUUAGUUUGAAUUCAAAUUUGAUUUGAAUUCAAAUGUGUAACCACUUGUCUUUAUCCUCUCACGCGGAUAAGACACGUUUUGAACUGUUUUAAAAGAGAUAGGAAGCUGGGGCGUGCGUAGAAAAAUUUUGAGAAAGAAAGUGGGGCGUGAGGAAGCCUUGUGCGUGAGGUGAAGGUCCAAAACCUUCCGAG
RNAcentral lists this long non-coding RNA (210 nucleotides) under Elaeis guineensis (African oil palm). Its description in RNAcentral is "long non-coding RNA (EGUI_LNC010517)". Lineage: Eukaryota; Viridiplantae; Streptophyta; Magnoliopsida; Arecales; Arecaceae. The record is from RNAcentral.